RNAcentral lists this transfer RNA (64 nucleotides) under Platygaster sp. ZJUH_2016026. RNAcentral's name for it is "tRNA-Tyr". The record is from RNAcentral. Lineage: Eukaryota; Metazoa; Arthropoda; Insecta; Hymenoptera; Platygastridae.
AGUAAUAUGUCUGAUUUAAGUAAUAAAUUGUAAAUUUAUUUAAAGAAUAAUUUUCUUAUUACUA